Physeter macrocephalus (sperm whale) is the source of this 3162-nucleotide long non-coding RNA. RefSeq lists it as uncharacterized. Lineage: Eukaryota; Metazoa; Chordata; Mammalia; Artiodactyla; Physeteridae. The record is from RefSeq and is a predicted model, not a curated record. The transcript has 3 exons.
AGAACCUGAAUACUCUGGAGAUGAGACUUAAGGCAAGAAUGGAAGCGGAGACAUGAAGCUACUACGGGUCAAGUCACGGAACUAACAAGAAGUGGAGCUAGAGUUGGAACACAAGUCCUUCUGAUGCCAAAGCCUAUCUACAUCAACAUGUCCUCAGGUUUGGCUGUUCCCUCUCCUAGGCAAAAAUGUCCAGUAGUUAGUGAUAACAUUGAUGAGGCAACAGGUUUCUGCUUUACAGGUGAGGAAAUUGAGGCAUAUAGCAAUUCACUUGUUCAGUGUACUGUAUCGUUUGAAGAAAUAUGACAUUUGGAAAAAAAAAAGUGACUUCAAAGCAGAACUGAAAGACUGUUGCUUUUAAGUGCUCCUCUGUAGAGCAGUAAAUGGAAGUAUAAGAAGAGAAGAGAGAUGUGACAGUGUGACCUGUGCCUUUCUUCCCAAAAGAAUAGAACUUUCCCCUGUGCCUUUUGACCACAGUUACUCUUUCAUACCUUGUAAGCGUUUUUUUCCUGAUGUUUUUUCUGUCCCUGUUCCUUAAUUCCUCAGAAAUAGCAACUUGGUUAUCUUUUGCAUGGUAUCCCAAAUAGUGUUGUGAAUAGAUGAAUGCUUAAUGAAGUUAGGGUAGUGGGCAAGAGUAUUUCUAAGAAGUCUUGGAGAGGUGAUUUCUGUCCCUUACCCUCUAGCUGUUAUGCUUUAGAACUUCUGAGCCUUUUAUGCUUCUAAGAGCAUAAAUCAAGGAGUUUUUUUUGAGAACCAAACAAGCUUUUUUUUUUUUGUUUUGCGGUACGCGGGCCUCUCACUCUUGUGGCCUCUCCCGUUGCGGAGCACAGGCUCCGGAUGCGCAGGCUUAGCGGCCAUGGCUCACGGGCCCAGCCGCUCCGCGGCAUGUGGGAUCCUCCCGGACCGGGGCACGAACCCGCGUCCCCUGCAUCGGCAGGCGGACCCUCAACCACUGUGCCACCAGGGAAGCCCACCCAAGAUAUUUUUUUAAAAAGGUAAAUAGUUGUUUUAAAAUAGGUAGUAUAUGACAUGUUACAGAGUUAAGAAAUUAACUGUGCGUAUGUUGAAUAUGUCCUUGCUGUUUCUGUCCCCUUCCCUAGAAACACCUGUUAUCAGUUUCUUUCUGUUCUUCCAAAGAUAUUCUAUAUCAAUGCUGUCUGAUAGAACAUUCCGUGAGGGUAGAGAUGUAUUAUAGCUAGCUGCCUAAUAUGGUAGCCACUAGCCAUGUAGCUCUCAAGCCCUUAAAGUGUGGGUGGUAUGACUGAAGAACUAAAUGUUUAAAUUUAAUUUUAAAUAGUUUAAGUAGCUGCAUGUGGCCAAUGCUACUAUAUUAGACAGUGCAGUAUACAUACUUAAUAGUAUAUUCUAGAGAUCGUUCCAUUGCAUACUUAUACAUAUAAAGCUGCCUCAUUUUCUUUAAAUGAUUGUUGCUAUUCCUUUUUAUGGAUGAACCAUGAUUUAUUUAACCAGUCCUCUGUCAAUAAUGCCUAGGUUGUUUCCUAUCUUAAUGUUUUCACAAGGAUAUUUACUGCAACAUUGGCAGCUUUGAAUUUAGGCUUCACCACUUAACCUUGAUCACCUUGGACACAUUGGUUGACUUUGAGCACAGCUUCCUCAUUUAUACAGUAGGUGCAGUAGUAUCCACUUCGUGGGAUUAUGUGAUUAUUAGAAGUAAUUUAUGUAAAAGACGCAAGAAUGGUCUAGGAGCUCAUGUUAGGUGUAGUAGAUAAUAGCUUUACUGUUACUUAUUUUUUUAAUAAUGAGACCAUAACAACCCCAUUGGCUGAUGUUUAGUGUUGAAUUGUGGCAGAAAAUUGAGAAAGCUUUGCUUAGCCCAUUUUAGGUUUGUAAGUAUAGACAGUCUCUACCUUUUAUUCACUUGACUUCUCUGAAUUGUACAUAGCCAUCUGUAGAUUACUUUUCAUAUGCUAAUUUAGAACUUUUGUAUAUCAACUGGCAAAAUUGUACAUUUAAAGUUCUUAUAUGGUGCCUUGCCUGUCAGCCAAUGGUUAAAUUUAAGCAAGAUCACUGUAUUAAUACAACAUUGCUUGUGUUUGGAUAUUUUAUGGUAUAUUUGAAUAUUGGUGGAAAACAGGAAAAUAAAGAUGCUUAUACUAUUUAGAAGCAGCCAUAAAAUUAUAUGGAUUAUGGAAGUAUAUUAUGAGUUUAGAUAUCAUUUUUUUCUUUAGUAUUUUCAGUGAUGUUGCUUAUAAAUAAAACCCUUAGAAUUUUAUUGAAAAAGUAAACUUUUUGCAUUGUGAUUCCUUGACCACAGGUGAUUUUUUCAUUCUUAAUACUCUGGCAACUAUUAAUAAACUUGUUUUAAGUUUUCCUUGACUUCACUCUUCAUAAACAUUAAGAUCUGCUAACAACACCUUUGCACUUCAUAUGAAUGGUUUUCUUAUUCAAUGGUAUUUAAAGAAAAGUUAGAUUAAUUUUUUAAAGGCAGUAAUCAAAAUUUUCACAAAUAUACAGAUUAAGAACCAAUUUCAAGCAUGUUCUAUGUCUGUGUAUACUACGAAGGAAAUGUGCUGGCGGGUUUUUGUUGUUUUUAAUCUGAGUACCUAAAUGGCAUGUUUGUGAGUGAAACUCAGUUAAAGGAAAAACAAAGUAUUAGCCUUUUUCUAUCUAAAUUUAGUAUUUAUUUCUAAAGCAUAUAUAUAUUAUAUUGAAAUUAGAAUUGCUAGUUUUUGAUAGACAUCAGCAAUUUAAGUAUUAAAAGUUUAUCGUUAAAAGUAGUAGGUGGAGUGGUAGCAGCUGUGUGCCAGGCACUGUAUUAUUUGCAGUACAUAUGUUGAUACCAUUUAAUCCUCAUAGUAACCAGUACUGUGGGUAUGAUUAGCCCCAUUUCACAACAGAAAGUGAGCCUUAGCUUUAAGCUGUGUAGUGAGGAUUCAACCUCACAUUUAGUUUUUCUGAUUCUGAAAUAUCUAUGCUGUUUACAAUAUUUUAGUUUGGGAGGGAGUUUUAUCAAAUUGUUGAUAAGCAUCAUCUUCCUUAUAUACUGACUUGAUAGGAAUUGCCCAGUGCAAAUGGUUAUUCUUUGCUCAUGGUGAUGGUCUCAGGGCUGCCUCUGCAGAUGAUUUUGAGCAGUAAGUAAUAAUAUUUUUCAGUGUGUAAACAGUAAGGUACAUUUGUGUUAAUUGAAAUGAUGCACUGAAUCAA